UCGUACGCUGGGCUAUAAUCUAUGAAACUGAGCUCCAGAGCCAGCCAAUCACUUAGCUCCUCAUAACAAGUCUAACUGGCUCUGGAAAGCUGAAAGGGCUGCACUGGAACAACACAGAAGAGAUAUUCUACACAUUAAUCUACUUAUCUGGAAUCACUUUGACUCUAAAGGGCAGAGAAAAAUCACAGCUUCCUUGUUGGAGGGGAAAAGGACAGGUGAUCUGGGGAAAACGCAGCUACACCUGGAGCAA
Molecule: unclassified non-coding RNA, 250 nt
Organism: Cercocebus atys (sooty mangabey)
Lineage: Eukaryota; Metazoa; Chordata; Mammalia; Primates; Cercopithecidae
Source: Ensembl